GAGCUGUACGGGCGUUAUGUCGCUGUGGCCCGGUACCAGACCCCAAAGGAGAACGAUGUCAGGGGUCUGGGCAGCUA
RNAcentral lists this non-coding RNA (77 nucleotides) under unclassified sequences. Its description in RNAcentral is "CyVA-1 RNA". It matches the Rfam family "CyVA-1 RNA". From Rfam's summary of the family: Cyanobacteria, Acidobacteria (1 example), Verrucomicrobia (1 example). Big IGRs The record is from Rfam by way of RNAcentral.